RNAcentral lists this long non-coding RNA (518 nucleotides) under Fukomys damarensis (Damara mole-rat). RNAcentral describes it as "lncRNA (ENSFDAG00000029440.1)". Lineage: Eukaryota; Metazoa; Chordata; Mammalia; Rodentia; Bathyergidae. The record is from RNAcentral.
UUCACAUUAUCUAUUAUGCCUUUUGAUCUUUACACAAACAGGCUGUUUCUUUUCUCCUCAGCUUUGAAGAAGAAGGACUCUGAGAGCCACCCCUUGAUCAACAGAGGCAAAGAGGUGAAAAAAGCUUCCCUAGUGAUGGCAAGGCUUGCAUGUCGCUGUGAGAGACCCAAGAUCUGAGUAUUUCUUCUUCCAGUAUCAUGUGCCUUUUAUAUGUCUCACUGUCUCAAUCCAGCUGGUGGAAUGUGGAAUACUCAUCUGAGGAGUAUCGGGAGUUGGCGAUGCCUUUGGAAGAGACAAAAGAAAUAGUAGGCGAAUCAUUGGCCAUGGUGGCAUAUGCCUGUAAUCCCAGCACUCAGGAGGCUGAGGCAGGAAGAUCACUGAGUUUGAGACCAGCCUGGGCUACGUAAUGAGUUCCAGGUCAGUCUCACCUACAUAAUGAGAUCCUGUCUCAAAAAACAAACAAACAAACAAAAAACCAAAAAAGCAAACAAUAACAACAACAAAGAAAUGGUAGGUGA